Molecule: long non-coding RNA, 672 nt
Organism: Patella vulgata (common limpet)
Lineage: Eukaryota; Metazoa; Mollusca; Gastropoda; Patellidae
Exons: 3
Source: RefSeq, a predicted model, not a curated record
AGUCUUUGUUUACUCUCAAGCUUUGAUGAAAACAGCAGUUUUGUGUUUGUCAUUCCUGGCUUUGAUAUACAUUUCUGAUGGUUGACUUGUUCAAGGAGAUACCAGAAAUUGUUUUUUGCGAAGUAGAGGAAGUGACAAAUGGUCGCAUUCUUUAUUCAUUUCCGAACCCGAUAGAUUCCUGCCAUGGCGUCCCUACAUGUGGUUGUAGAAGACGCGCCAUGAUCGACUGUGGUGGUAAAUGUGACGAAAAAGUAAAAGUUUAUUGUGAACAACGCCUUCAUCAAACGAAAGCGAUGUCUAAAUAUAGGGCCAGCACAUGUAACAAUGGAGAUGGGCAUAAUCACUACGAUUGUUAGGCUGUUCCUGAUGGUAUGCUUGGUUGUAUUUAACUGAUGUCUCAUAACACGAGGCCUUGUUAUUUCGAUUUAAGUUGAACAAAUAAAAUGAAUAAAAUAAAACCAAGUACGAACAAUCCAAACCAUAAGACAGAAUUCGAAGUCCUAAAAAACGUUAUAGGCAAAAUAAUGUAUUCAUGCUAAAUAAUGUAAUCAGCAAAUGGACUGCUCCUCGUGUACAAAAUACACGACAAACAGUGGUAACAGGUGUCCGGAAGAGUAAGCUUAACCUGCCUGGCGCCACACCCGCCAUAAAUAAAAUGAAUAAUACAUUAAA